Molecule: long non-coding RNA, 1204 nt
Organism: Gadus macrocephalus (Pacific cod)
Lineage: Eukaryota; Metazoa; Chordata; Actinopteri; Gadiformes; Gadidae
Exons: 2
Source: RefSeq, a predicted model, not a curated record
AGUGUUAACAUCCGGGGACCCAAGAAAGAGCAAUCGAUCCUAGAUGCUAGAUCGCGGUCAAACGAGUGUGUGCUGUGCGCGUCGUUGGAUACCUGACUCUCUCACGCGGGAAGGCAAAACAGAUUUAGCCAUGUCCAACGGCAACAGCAGCAGUAAUAGUGCUUCGGCAACGAGAGGGCAUCCUCAGGCUCUGGACCUUCUCCAGGGGUCCGUCCAGGCAUCCUCACAUAUCUGAUCGCGUUGGUCCUACUGGCGUUGGUCUGGUGAUGACGAUACAGGGCCAAGGAGAUGGACACCCCCCUGAAGUCCCAGCCCACCCUGGAGGACUGAAGGAGAGGAGGGGAAGCAGUAGGGGAGGAGAAGGAGAGCAGGGGGUAAAGGAGAGAGGAGAGUGUAGAGCAGGGAGUAAAAGUGAGUUAGUUGUCCCCUUAGGGAAAUUAUUUUUCAGUUUCCUUCAUUCAUUUCUCAUCAUCAUUUCUCAUCAUAAGCACAUUAAGAACAUACAUAAGACAUUUAUAGAGUUGACAUUGAUGACGGACAUACAUUGGGGUUCGGUACAGGGGGAUACAUUGUUAAAUACAUUAUCUGUGGGGCUUUGCUUUGUUCAGGAAUGGGAUGGCGGAUGGGGGGGGGGGGGGGGGGGUCAGGCCUCUGCUGAAACAGGCUUUGUUGCAUCUUAUCUCCGUUCUAGAUGGAGAUGAGGGAGUAAAGGAGAGAGGAGAUGGAGAGGAGGGAGUGAAGAAGAGAGGAGACGGAGAGGAGGGAGUAAAGGAGAGAGGAGAGGGAGAGGAGGGAGUAAAGGAGAGAGGAGACGGAGAGGAGGGAGUAAAGGAGAGAGGAGACGGAGAGCAGGGAAUAUUGGAGAGAUGGGAAAAAAGAGGUUGUGUAGCAUCUUAUCCUAGCUUUGUUUUUUGUAUGCGGGAAUGGGUAAACCUAGCAAUUGUUAGUUAUUGGCACAUGGCUCUAUGAACAUCCUUACUGUACCGACAGCGAUACAUUGUUUAUCUUUCUUCUGACAAAUGCACUGAUUGUAAGCCGCUUUUGAUAAAAGUGUUUGAGCUCGCUGCCUUGAAUGUAAAUGUAAGGGGGGCUAUAAUUUCCCUCAACAAUGUCAAAUGCAUCUACUAUUAGUUGAAUUGUUCAACUCGUAAAGACCAUAACUUUUACAUUCAUGGCAACAAAUAAAACAAGUUUGUUGAAAAUG